ACAGAAAAUCUGCCCUCCCCGAAUCAAUGCUGUGAUGUCCAUCUGCCACCCAGGGAGGAGGCGGCUUUGGUACCUUGACAUUAUGGACUCACAGACGGAACUCUUCCUGCGGCUGGUGAGGUCUGAAAGCACCAUUCGCUGGGAGAUUCUUUUUAAGAUCAUCUCGCUCCGGUGUUCUGCUUCCAAGCUCGCUGGGAAACCCUCUAACAACUUGGCCUCCUGUAUGCUUGCUUCUCAUGAUAUGAUAAUAAACAGGCAUUUGGGCUCCAUGAACUUGAUUAAGGCAAGGUGGCCUCUGAGAGGUGACAGAGCUACUUCCUAAGUGCUCCGACGAAGCAGGCUUCUUAACCUGCCAGCCUAGUGCAGACCUUGGGCUGAGCAGAUUCAUCAAGAUAAAUGCGACCUUGAGGGGACUUCUGAGCAGCCGGCCGUAACAUUAGAAACUGGCUAAAAUCUCUCUCGAUAGCAGUUUUAACAUGCAUCCUGCUGAAUUUUAUUUGAAUCGAGGGGGAGAAACACUGGCUCCUCUGUACUAUCUGCCUUUCUCUGUCCAGGAGGCGGUUGGGAAGAAAUCCUAAUCCAGACUCUUUAUGGGGGGGUGGGGUACAUUCUCCUAUUUAUGCUGCCGUCUCCUGCUCUUUUGCUUGUAGGUCAGGUCUUCCUGAGCUGCAGAAUUUUCUUCCAGACGAAAAUGAGAGGAAAGAAAUAAACUCUCAACUCAUGGUGCAUUUGGAAUUCCAUAGACUUCCCCACAGUCACCUUACAUUUCUAUAAACUUCCGUCACCCGUUCUUGUAAUCCAGACAUAAUUUUUAAAAUUACUUAGACUCAUUUCCCUGUGACAGCAUCUGUGGUACCCAGAGUGAGAAAGUAAAGUGGAUGUGAUGGAUGAACUGCAGUCAACGUAAGCGAAAGAAGAGUCUGCCGCUUGUUGUUUGUCAAAUGAUCCUUUGCACUCGCUCGGGUUGUCUUCACCCAGAAGAAUCUAGUGUAGGGAGGAGACUCGCAUAUGCAAACAGCAGGGGCUCCAAUGAAAAUAUAUUUGAGAACUGUCAGGCUGUCAUGGAAGAAAAUUAAAGUGAGAUUGACAGUAAGGUGCCUCUUUAAUUUUCUAAGGAAUUUUUCAGAGACACAUCUAUCUUACCAUCACACAUCCUAUUUAACUUUCUUCUCCAUUUAGAGAAGAAAUUUUAAAAUAUCAAGGAUAUUCUUUUUCCUUAAGGAAUUUAAAAAAAUGAGAAUUCACCGCCCUGCCUUCAAACAGGAAUAGACUUAUUGCCUCAUUAAAUAACUGGUGAGGAACUUUGUGUGAGUGACAGCUCAUCUUUGGGAUCUAAAAUACAGAAAGUUCUGUGAUUCUAAAGCAUUGGCUCUGUUGACAGGUGGACUUGGGUCUCUGUGGGUUGGUAACACGGUUGAGAAACAGUUGUCAUGUCCUGCUGUGUGGUAUUAUUCUAAGGCAUUCCUGGUAAUCUCCAAGGGUAUUAGCGGACACUGUGUUUCUUAGAUCAAAAUUAAUUUAAAUAUACUUGAAUUUUUUUUUAAAAAAAGAUCUGUAGCGUAUGAUUUGAGGAAGAAGUGAUUCCUACCGCCAGAAAGUAUAAAUAUACUGUAGGUGGGCAGUGCAUGCUUUGAUUUGCAAUGUUGGCCAUUUUAGGCUAGAUGUUUGUUUAUAUAUGUUAUUUUAUGUCAGCAUAAAAACAGAAAUCACCAUUCUUCAGAGCAAAGACUAUACACCAAAGUAUAUCAAGGGUCUCUGAGUAGUACCUGUGAUGGGUAGAGGGAGCAGUCACAAGCCAAGCCAAGCCAAGAGCGAGAACUUCUGAUGAGUGAGGUGGUUUCCCGGGCUAAGGGCAGGCAUCUACGGUGAGGCCUGGGGUGGCCUUCCAGAAGUCAGAGGCUGAUUUCUUCAGCUGAUGGUCUCCACACCGUUGAAGAUUCAGGCAGGCAGAUAAACUUGGCCAAAAAGAAAAUUACGAACGUGAGAAACAUUCCUAUGGAGAUACUGUCAUAGAAAUAGGAGAGAAAUAGAAAGGGUUUGAAAAGAUUUGUUCUUUUCCAAAGGCAGGUUGAAGUGGCCUCAUGUUGACUGUCCCUGCUGGGUGAGUUCAGGCGCAGGAUGCGUUUCAUGAAGCCCCCACUCCAGAGAGUGAAUGAGAAGAGGGAUGGGGGUGACAUGCCUAGGGGUCUGGGGCCAGCCCAGGGAUGGUUGGGAAUGUGGGGGUGGGCAGAAGAAUUCUGUCUAGAUCUGAUCUGGAUCUAUGCUGGUCUUUAGGAAGCUCCCCUCUGGACAUGGACUUGGAAGCUGGAGCUCUAGGGUCUUGGGAAGAAUGUCAGUCAGUGUCAGUUGGGGGUGUGUAUAUCCACACAAUUCAUGUGUGUCCUUAUACAAGUCAUGCAUGUGUGUCCACACAGUUCAUGUGUAUGUGUCCACACAAUUCAUACGUGUUCCUCCACGCCAUUCAUGUGUGUGCCUCCACACAGUUUGUGAGGAUUCCUGCCUGCAGCACAGGGAGUAGGAAUGUGAGGAUUCAGUGGCUAGAGGCAGGCAGAGGGUCAAAGUGUGGUUGACUGGUGUUUGUGAUAAGGUCCCCUAAGCAUUUAGGCAGAAGCCUUGUCGGAUGGACACAGAGCAAAGGUCACCUGAUGGCCAGCAUGCAGUGGGCCGGCAGGUGACCUGGGCUCACCCCAGCCUCCCUGGAUACUGAUUUAUUAGCAGUGAAAGCAGUUGCAGUUGGCCCUGGCUAGUCCGUGAAAGCCUACUGAUCUCUGGCCCAUUUCGGUCAAGAUUAAUUUAGGAACUUGACGUCUGGAUGGGUUUAGCUAGCACAGGGGCCAGGGAAGGCAAGAAUAAAUAUUGAAUAUAAGAGGUUCUUUUCACUCUGAUCAAGAAACCAAAUAUCAAAGCCAAACAUCUGACAUCUAAGGAAGUCCAUAUGUUAAAACAAGUGAAGACAGAGUUGGGUUUUUUUUUUUUUUUAAGCUCAAAGACUUUGCUCUGCAGAGUUUGUCUUCACAAGGGCAGAUGAGGCAUGAGGUUCUGAAGUAUUUAAGAAGAUCUAUGCAAAGCAAAGAGAGUGGCCAGAGUUCUCAUAUUUGAUGCAUUCACUGUAACAGAGUUCAACAGACAGUGUGCUUCCUGUGAAACUCUUUCUUUCAAACAAAAAUACCCAGAGUGGCGACUUUCCUUAAUCACUUGACUCUGAAUAAAAUUGUGAGUGUGCACCCUUGGUCCCAACUGCAACCAUGCCAGUUCUUGGAACUCAGAUGAAGUAGACUUGUCUCCAUUCUGCAGGUCCUAAGACAACCAGUGUCCUUGAAAUAUCUGAGGGUUUUUUUUUUUUUUAUGUUAUUUUAUUUUUGUCAUGGGGGAGGUGGUUGGGGAAGGAUGAAGUUGUUUUCUGUGGUCUCUCCUGUCUCUGAGUUUAACUUCACUGAACUAUGUCAGUUUCUGAAUGAUCUUGCUGUGUUUUCCAAGUUCUUUUUGUUCUGUCUUAUGCUCACAUGACUCGCAUUCAUCUCUCCAAAAUCCAACAAAUACAAUACUGUAAAACGUAGUACAGUUUUAAUGAUGUUUUGUAGCAGUGGGGGUGGGUCAUUACAUUGCUGCCUCUAGACACUGUGAGAUGGAUUAUUAACCCUCAACUUAGAAAUUUUGAGGAUGUCUCCCUGGCUUCCAACCUCUCACCAUGCUCCUCAGUCUUUACUUCCCUUAUUCCUCAUUUCCCCAGCCCUCCCUUUCACCUCCAGAUGCCUAUUAAUUUUUUAGUCAAGAGUAAAUUAGCUUCAUGUUUUGGGUUUUUUGUUUUGUUUUGUUUUGUUUUGCCUUUUCUAGGGCCGCUCCUGCGGUAGGUGGAGGUUCCCAGGCUAGGAGUCUAAUCGGAGCUGUCGCCGCCAGCCUACACCACAACCACAGCAACGUGGGAUCUGAGCCACAUCUGUGACCUACACCACAGCUCACGACAACGCCGGAUCCUUAACCCACUGAGCAAGGCCAGGAAUGGAACCCGAAACCUCAUGGUUCCUAGUUGGACUCGCCUACCACUGAGCCACGCCAGGAGCUCUAGCUUCAUGUUUUAAAGAUUCCUUCUCGACCGGUGCUUUUCUAGUUGCAGGAGGUGACCAAUUAAUGCACUGAGACUUCAUUCCAUAUGUUGAAGCAAUCAUUUUAGGAAAAUCAGAUCAAAUAGGAAACACCCUAGUACCUUGCUCGUGGUAAAGUGCGAGUUUUCGGUAGAUUCCCUCAUGCCAUGCAGCCUGUUUUAUUCCGCUGCUGCUGGCCGGGCAGGACGAUCUUGUUUCCACCCCCAAGUGUCCUAGCAAGGCAUCUUCCCAAACAAAUGACAUUUCUGUAGGUUCUCAAACAUCAAAUCUCUUUAUGGAGAUUUGCUGCCGAGGCACCAAGAACUUUAAAGGCUGUUCCCAAUGAGGUGUUUCGCAGAGUCUUUGCACAGCAAGAACAAAGUGUCCAGUGAUGGCACCGUUCUGGGCAACCUUUAUUUAGAAGCAUGUCGACCUUUGUUUAGGAAAAAGUCCAAGCCGAUUCAUCAGUACUCAUGCCAGUCCUCUGUUACUAAAGAAUAAAGAGGGAGUGAAGAGUGUGGUUAAGGAACCAGGGAAUGAUCUGACUUGGCAAAUUCAGGGAUUCUUCAUGUAGGCUACUGGUGUCAGUAUUGCUCAAGCAGGACCUGCCAUGCCAGGGUGCUGAGAUCCAGUGUGUGUGUUGGCACUGGGCUGGAAAAGUGGGGGAUGAGUAAUUAGGGUAAGGGGUCCAAUUUGAUAAGCAAUAAAAGUUCUGUCUUUUAAAAAAAACAUUGUUGUUUUUUUUUUUUUCCUUUUUGGAUCAACAGCAAGAAUUUCCAUUUAAAACGAUGACCCCAUGGAGGUCCCUGAUGGCUCAUCCGCUUAUGGAUCUGGCAUUGUCACUGCUGUAGCUCAGGCCACUGUUCGGACAUGGGUCUCAUCCCUGGCCCUGGAACCUCUGCAUGACAC
RNAcentral lists this long non-coding RNA (4991 nucleotides) under Sus scrofa (pig). RNAcentral's name for it is "lncRNA (ENSSSCG00000060123.1)". The record is from RNAcentral. Lineage: Eukaryota; Metazoa; Chordata; Mammalia; Artiodactyla; Suidae.